CGCGAGAUAUUCUGCCCGCACGGAAGCGACGACUGGCCUGGCCAGAGGACUCGGGUGGGAGCGAGGUGCCGGUCCCGACAGGACGGUGAGCCUACCCGUAUAUUACAAGAAAUCUCAAGUCAAACACUGGAAGAGAUGUCAGAAGAUUCAGAAAAGGAAGACUAUUCAGACAGAACAAUCAGUGAUGAAGAUGAAUCGGUAUGUUUUUCUCAACUUUAUUUUACUUGGAGAUAAAAUUUGUAUUAUAUAACUCCCCAAUUAAAAUAUUAUAAAAUCAAUUGGAAAUAAAAAUCAAUUGGAUGUUUAAAUUAUUAUCAUUGAAGUUGGGAAAUAAUUUGGCUGAAAAAGCUAAGCUAUCACUGGGAACACUAUGCCCUGUCUAGAAAGAGAAACUAUAUUUGUAUUUUUUUUUGAGGAAAUAUUUUAGCUAAGAUUCUUCUAGGUUUUAUUAAAAUUUGUAUAUUAAAUUAUUAGUAGGGUUUUAGUUUUAGGAUUGAUGUCCACUUAUUUUCUUCUGUGUGCUGAUUGGAUUGUGUUACAUCGUAGUAUGAAUCAUAGUAGAACCAC
RNAcentral lists this small RNA (567 nucleotides) under Pongo abelii (Sumatran orangutan). Its description in RNAcentral is "retained intron". The record is from RNAcentral. Lineage: Eukaryota; Metazoa; Chordata; Mammalia; Primates; Hominidae.